ACCGGGGGGGGGUGCCUAAUACAUGCAAGUCGUACGCACUGGCCCAACUGAUUGAUGGUGCUUGCACCUGAUUGACGAUGGAUUACCAGUGAGUGGCGGACGGGUGAGUAACACGUAGGUAACCUGCCCCGGAGCGGGGGAUAACAUUUGGAAACAGAUGCUAAUACCGCAUAACAACAAAAGCCACAUGGCUUUUGUUUGAAAGAUGGCUUUGGCUAUCACUCUGGGAUGGACCUGCGGUGCAUUAGCUAGUUGGUAAGGUAACGGCUUACCAAGGCGAUGAUGCAUAGCCGAGUUGAGAGACUGAUCGGCCACAAUGGAACUGAGACACGGUCCAUACUCCUACGGGAGGCAGCAGUAGGGAAUCUUCCACAAUGGGCGCAAGCCUGAUGGAGCAACACCGCGUGAGUGAAGAAGGGUUUCGGCUCGUAAAGCUCUGUUGUUGGAGAAGAACGUGCGUGAGAGUAACUGUUCACGCAGUGACGGUAUCCAACCAGAAAGUCACGGCUAACUACGUGCCAGCAGCCGCGGUAAUACGUAGGUGGCAAGCGUUAUCCGGAUUUAUUGGGCGUAAAGCGAGCGCAGGCGGUUGCUUAGGUCUGAUGUGAAAGCCUUCGGCUUAACCGAAGAAGUGCAUCGGAAACCGGGCGACUUGAGUGCAGAAGAGGACAGUGGAACUCCAUGUGUAGCGGUGGAAUGCGUAGAUAUAUGGAAGAACACCAGUGGCGAAGGCGGCUGUCUGGUCUGCAACUGACGCUGAGGCUCGAAAGCAUGGGUAGCGAACAGGAUUAGAUACCCUGGUAGUCCAUGCCGUAAACGAUGAGUGCUAGGUGUUGGAGGGUUUCCGCCCUUCAGUGCCGGAGCUAACGCAUUAAGCACUCCGCCUGGGGAGUACGACCGCAAGGUUGAAACUCAAAGGAAUUGACGGGGGCCCGCACAAGCGGUGGAGCAUGUGGUUUAAUUCGAAGCUACGCGAAGAACCUUACCAGGUCUUGACAUCUUGCGCUAACCUUAGAGAUAAGGCGUUCCCUUCGGGGACGCAAUGACAGGUGGUGCAUGGUCGUCGUCAGCUCGUGUCGUGAGAUGUUGGGUUAAGUCCCGCAACGAGCGCAACCCUUGUUACUAGUUGCCAGCAUUAAGUUGGGCACUCUAGUGAGACUGCCGGUGACAAACCGGAGGAAGGUGGGGACGACGUCAGAUCAUCAUGCCCCUUAUGACCUGGGCUACACACGUGCUACAAUGGACGGUACAACGAGUCGCAAGCUCGCGAGAGUAAGCUAAUCUCUUAAAGCCGUUCUCAGUUCGGACUGUAGGCUGCAACUCGCCUACACGAAGUCGGAAUCGCUAGUAAUCGCGGAUCAGCAUGCCGCGGUGAAUACGUUCCCGGGCCUUGUACACACCGCCCGUCACACCAUGGGAGUUUGUAACGCCCAAAGUCGGUGGCCUAACCUUUAUGGAGGAGCCGCUAAGGCCGGAACAGAGUG
This 1484-nucleotide ribosomal RNA is filed under the name Limosilactobacillus reuteri. RNAcentral's name for it is "bacterial SSU rRNA". It matches the Rfam family "Bacterial small subunit ribosomal RNA". The record is from RNAcentral. Lineage: Bacteria; Bacillati; Bacillota; Bacilli; Lactobacillales; Lactobacillaceae.